UGCAGUCGACGCAGCGGGGAAGCUUGCUUUCCCGCGCGAGUGGCGAACGGGUGAGUAAUACAUCGGAACGUGCCCNGUAGUGGGGAUAACUAGUCGAAAGAUUAGCUAAUACCGCAUACGACUGAGGGUGAAAGUGGGGGACCGCAAGGCCUCAUGCUAUAGGAGCGGCCGAUGUCUGAUAGCUAGUUGGUGGGGUAAAGGCCCACCAAGGCGACGAUCAGUAGCUGGUCUGAGAGGACGAUCAGCCACACUGGGACUGAGACACGGCCCAGACUCCUACGGGAGGCAGCAGUGGGGAAUUUUGGACAAUGGGCGAAAGCCUGAUCCAGCAAUGCCGCGUGUGUGAAGAAGGCCUUCGGGUUGUAAAGCACUUUUGUCCGGAAAGAAAUGGCUCUGGUUAAUACCUGGGGUCGAUGACGGUACCGGAAGAAUAAGGACCGGCUAACUACGUGCCAGCAGCCGCGGUAAUACGUAGGGUCCAAGCGUUAAUCGGAAUUACUGGGCGUAAAGCGUGCGCAGGCGGUUGUGCAAGACCGAUGUGAAAUCCCCGAGCUUAACUUGGGAAUUGCAUUGGUGACUGCACGGCUAGAGUGUGUCAGAGGGGGGUAGAAUUCCACGUGUAGCAGUGAAAUGCGUAGAGAUGUGGAGGAAUACCGAUGGCGAAGGCAGCCCCCUGGGAUAACACUGACGCUCAUGCACGAAAGCGUGGGGAGCAAACAGGAUUAGAUACCCUGGUAGUCCACGCCCUAAACGAUGUCAACUAGUUGUUGGGGAUUCAUUUCCUUAGUAACGUAGCUAACGCGUGAAGUUGACCGCCUGGGGAGUACGGUCGCAAGAUUAAAACUCAAAGGAAUUGACGGGGACCCGCACAAGCGGUGGAUGAUGUGGAUUAAUUCGAUGCAACGCGAAAAACCUUACCUACCCUUGACAUGCCACUAACGAAGCAGAGAUGCAUUAGGUGCUCGAAAGAGAAAGUGGAC
Molecule: ribosomal RNA, 980 nt
Filed under: Ralstonia pickettii
Lineage: Bacteria; Pseudomonadati; Pseudomonadota; Betaproteobacteria; Burkholderiales; Burkholderiaceae
Description: bacterial SSU rRNA
Rfam family: Bacterial small subunit ribosomal RNA
Source: RNAcentral